Molecule: long non-coding RNA, 3295 nt
Organism: Zalophus californianus (California sea lion)
Lineage: Eukaryota; Metazoa; Chordata; Mammalia; Carnivora; Otariidae
Source: Ensembl
AACUUCCAGUUCUCAGGGGCAAAUGCCUGGAGUCUUCACUCUUCCCACAUCAGGUGGUCUGGCUACUUCAGGAGAAUGCUGCCCUACAAAUGCCUCAAGGCACAAAAUUUGGAAGACUUGGCUCUUUGGUUUAGAAGCAGCACUGGCUGAGGCAUGGUUCUUUGGAAACAGACAAGGGAUGAAGCAGGGCCUUGGCCCUAUUGGUGAGCCUUCACAUUUCCCCAGGGAAAGAAACAGAUUUGAAGAAUCCCCUACAGCAGAAGCAGAGGUGGAAAGGCGACCCACUUGUUGCGAUGGUGGGGACAGUUGAUUUCGUCUCCGUGAGGAUUCCUGUCGGUGGCUGAGCACUGAAGUUGUCUCAGUGAGUGCACAUUGCUGAUGGUAGUAAGAGCCAUGAGAAUCACGUUCCAUCUCUGCCUGCCACACAGUUGAACCCGGUGAAUUCUUUGAUCACUAAAAGCUCAGAUCGAAUACCACUAUGUCCUGUACUGUUUGUUUUCCCCAGAAAAAAAAUGGACUCUUUUUGGACUUGUCACAUGCCUUCCUGCCUUGAUUUAUUAGUUCCUAAACUGAGCUCUUUGAGAGCAGAAACUGAGACUCCUCUCUGGCAUUACAGGACCUAGUGGCAGGUUAUGAACUAAAUUGUUGAAAUCUGUCUAAGACCAAGGAAGAUGAUAACAUAAAUAACAUUUGUCUGCGGGAGGUAGUUCCCCCAGGACUACCCUUUACCUUAUGCUCUGUUCCCCCCAAAUGCCGGUGACCAUCUGCUCCUAGAUUCUUAUUCUUGGUCAGGGCUUCUUGGACUUCCUAUGGAGACUUCAGAAAUACUAAAGGAUUGCUAGCUUGUACCACUAAAAAUUUGGAGAUCUGGUGGGAGUUGAAAUUUCUUGGAGCUUCAUACUUCCUCUCAAAAAACCAUCUACAUUUUAUGUUUUGUAUGUCCUAUUAAAUGCAAAAAGUUUUCUCCUAAAACUUCGGAAAAACGUACAUGACUUCACAGUUCCAGAGAGGGUAGUUUGAGAAGCAUGGUGCUAAUUACAGCUCAUCGUGAGCACAGCAGAGAGCACUCCAUGAGGAGGAAUCUCUGAAGCCUGGAAAUGAGGAGAUUUGGGGCACAAUCUGCCUAACAAACAGUUGUUACCGACAGGGAUUUGAGACACACUUGAAGCCCAAGUUUCACUCUGUUAACUGCUGAUAGAAAAAAUACCUCACAGCUUGAGAAGACAAAAUGGUAACUGAGAUGUAGUUAGUGUUUUCUGAAGUUCUGUAUACGUUACCCAAUACAAAAAAAGGGUAUGAAGAUUUAGAUUGAUUUGCAUGAACUGUAAGCCAGUUUGUGCUUUUCCAUACACACAACUCAGGUUGGAGCAACCAUUGAUUGCAUCUUAAUUUUGGACACUGACCAGCAUUAAAAUUUAAGAAACAAUUUAAGAAACAAACACCGAAGACAAAACUAUGUAUGUCACUUAAGAGUAAACCAUUCCUCCUUGUAGGUGCUUUCCCAAAGUCACUGAUUUUCUUUCUUGGGAACGGGUCAGAAUCCUGACAAAUGCUCAGUUGAGCCGAAGUCACCAGCUAGCGUGUAGGUGCAAUGGGGCACCUCCUGUGCGUGCCUGUGACUGGCCUAAGGGCUUUUCCCAGAGGAAGAUGUUAAUGGCUUUCUACAACAAGGCUGUGUUUCCUUAACUUGCCCUGGGUUGAUAGAUUUCAAUGAUAUAGAUUGACAUGUGCAUAAGUAGUGUGGGGUGCAUUUUGCCUCGCAGCACUCAGAGUUCAUCUGGGGUGCUCAUUUGUCCGCUGACUGUAUUUUCAGUGGUUGUCCUAUGAAAGCACCAAGCAAAACCGUAAGCUUAGCAGGUAUCCUGCAUGGUCAUUGCUUUGUGAUAUUGCUUUUACUUUGGGGAGGUAUUUCAAACCUCCUUUUAUCCAAACUUGUUCUUUCUUAAAUCUCCCAGGCUCUGAAGUGGCCAUUGUUAACCUACAAACUCUAUUUAAAGUCCCUCUUCUGAUUUCUGGCCCUGGGGGUUAAGCAAAUCAAUACCUGGUUAACGUAACCACAGGCCUACUUCUUACGAGGUGUAUCUUAUGAAAAAAAAAUCCUCUAUAAUCUUUAGAGAAAAACUAAUUUUUUCCCUAUUACAAAAGUAACGUAUUGGAUUGAUCCAGAAAAUAUAUUUAAGUAAAAGGAGAAAGAUUAGAAUAAUCUAUAAUCCCAUUACUCGGUUUUCAUGGCCAUUAUUCUAGACUCUUUCCAUAUGUCUUGUCUUUUCCCGGAAAUGGGAUCAUACAGUGCACGGUGUUUUAUUCUCUUACAGUCUUCUACAACUUCCAUUUUAAUGAUCUACCCUGUGGACGGGCCUCAGUUUAUUUAACCACUGUGCUGUUGCCCACAGGUACCCAAGAACCUGUCACUAGAAGGGCACUGGUUGUUACCUGGAUGCACCCUAACAGCCCCACAGUGUGAUGCUCACUUGUCUCCUGUUGGGGGCGGGGCAUGAGUGCCUUUGUGAUUAAAUGAGGGAUCAGUGCCUUAUGUCAAACAGGGGAAUCUUUGGGAUUAGAUGUUUCUGCUAAUGGAGCAGAGGAUGCCGGCUGGUGCUGAGUGGCCAGACCCUGCUUGGAGCAUCAUCCCGUGUCACUCUGGAGUGAGAACACUGUCACAGUGGAGGCUGUGGAGUGCUAUCCUGACCCCCACCCCCCCUGCCUUCAGUUCCUAGGCACUCAUUCCCUUCGCAGCCCACAAGUCACAGAUAAAUUCCUCUCCAGAGACCUCCUUAGCUAAAGGGACCCACCAUGAUCAAGGUCACGGCCCUUUCCCCCGGGGGAGUUUUCAUCCAAUGAUUGGUUGAUGGGGGGGCUAUAAUUGCCUGCCCCCUUACCCCCAGUUUGGGACAACCCUUCAGGGCUCUUCUGGUUCCAGAGCUCUGCGUGACCCAUGCUGAGGCCUGUGUUGGGACCACACAACAGCUCUGCUCCCCCUACUCAACUCUGCUUUCCUCUCUUCACCCCCACUGGUGAAUCUCCCACAAGGACCUUCCAAUAACCUUCCUUCGUGUGCAUCGCUAGCUCAGGGUCUACUUCCCUGGGAACCCAAUCUGCGGCAGGCACUUAAAAGUUCACAUUUUUGGCUUGACAGAGUUUAUGUGCAUAGUAUGUCUUACAGAGAUAAUACAAGUUAAAUAACAUGAGUUCUAAUUGUAAUUGUUACAGGUUUCUCCACAAUACUUAUGUCGCUAGAUAGCUAACAUUUCCUUUCUAAGUUGAAUCAAAUCUGUCUUGGAGCUCUCCCUUGAGG